Cygnus atratus (black swan) is the source of this 307-nucleotide long non-coding RNA. RefSeq lists it as uncharacterized. Lineage: Eukaryota; Metazoa; Chordata; Aves; Anseriformes; Anatidae. The record is from RefSeq and is a predicted model, not a curated record. The transcript is spliced from 3 exons.
GCUGAGGACCAGAGCUGAUGCAAAAGCUGCAAGGCGAGCCCAUGGAGAAAAUGGGAAUUUGGAGCCGAAGCUGCAGACUUCGACGAAGUCGUUACCCUACUACAAAUCCAUCCCUUCUGUUUGACAAACUUAUAACAAAAAGUUGUGUUGCCAAAAAUGGAUGAAAUGGAGAAGGUCCAUAGAUGCCAAAUCCUGAAUUUGGAAGACGUUGAGGUAUCUUUUAAGAGUGGAGGAAGUAUCUUCUGCAGAAGACGUGAGAUAACAGGGAGAUGCUGGAAUGCACGUCUUCUAUUCCAGUUUCUGAAUU